CAUACAAUGCUCAAUCUCCAUUGUUCUACCCUUUUCCCAAACAUACAAUUGCACAAUCAUUCUCAAAUGUCAAACCCAACUCACAUCUCUCACCAAAAGAUCCUAAGAACUUUAACUCCUCCUCUUUGAAAUCUACAAAGGAUUUUCGACAACCUCAAAACAUUACUUAGCUCCUAACAACUUUGCUAGCCUCCUUUUUCUUUCUUUUUCUUUUCUUUUCAUAUAUAUAUAUAUAUAUAUAUAUAUAUUUUUUUUAGAUGGGGGCCAAGACUUUUCAUAAAUUGAGCUAGAGGUUUUUCUACUUAUCCCAAUA
This 313-nucleotide long non-coding RNA is filed under the name Brassica napus (rape). RNAcentral describes it as "long non-coding RNA (BNAP_LNC023081)". Lineage: Eukaryota; Viridiplantae; Streptophyta; Magnoliopsida; Brassicales; Brassicaceae. The record is from RNAcentral.